GAUGAAGAACGCAGCGAAAUGCGAUAAGUAGUGUGAAUUGCAGAAUUCAGUGAAUCAUCGAAUCUUUGAACGCACAUUGCGCCCUUUGGUAUUCCUUAGGGCAUGUCUGUUCGAGCGUCAUUUAAACCUUCAAGCUAAGCUUGGUGUUGGGUGACUGUCCGCUUCACGGCGGACUCGCCUCAAAAUUAUUGGCGGCCGGUACAUUGGCUUCGAGCGCAGCAGAAACGCGAACUCGGGCCCGUCGUAUUGGCUCCCAGAAGCUAUCUUCACAAUUUUGACCUCGGAUCAGGUAGGGAUACCCGCUGAACUUAAGCAUAUCAAGAAGCGGAGGA
RNAcentral lists this unclassified non-coding RNA (332 nucleotides) under soil metagenome. RNAcentral's name for it is "partial contains 5.8S ribosomal RNA, internal transcribed spacer 2, and large subunit ribosomal RNA". The stretch from base 1 to 120 matches the Rfam family "5.8S ribosomal RNA", at positions 35 to 154 of the family's 154-position model. The record is from RNAcentral.